RNAcentral lists this transfer RNA (73 nucleotides) under Mus musculus (house mouse). It matches the Rfam family "tRNA". Rfam says of the family: Transfer RNA (tRNA) molecules are approximately 80 nucleotides in length. The record is from Rfam by way of RNAcentral. Lineage: Eukaryota; Metazoa; Chordata; Mammalia; Rodentia; Muridae.
GUGAUGAUGGCUCAGUGGUUAAGAGCACUGGCUGCUCUUCCAGAGGUCCUGAGUUCAAUUCCCAGCAACCACA